UGGUAAUAAGAGGAUUCAACCUCUGUAUUUAGAUUUACAGUCUAAUACCUACUCGGCC
RNAcentral lists this transfer RNA (58 nucleotides) under Artibeus jamaicensis (Jamaican fruit-eating bat). RNAcentral's name for it is "partial tRNA-Tyr". The record is from RNAcentral. Lineage: Eukaryota; Metazoa; Chordata; Mammalia; Chiroptera; Phyllostomidae.